Ostrea edulis (European flat oyster) is the source of this 80-nucleotide non-coding RNA. NCBI's taxonomy places the organism in Eukaryota, Metazoa, Mollusca, Bivalvia, Ostreida, Ostreidae. The record is from the annotation of a RefSeq genome assembly.
GGCCAGAUAGCUCAGUUGGUAGCAUAUAGAGCACCUGACUAGGGAUUCAGGGGGCCCAGGUUCGAAUCCCGGUCUGGUCC